GGGUCGUUAGCUCAGCCGGUAGAGCAGCGGACUUUUAAUCCGUUGGUCGCGAGUUCGAAUCUCACACGACCCACCA
This 76-nucleotide transfer RNA is filed under the name Sutterella sp. CAG:351. RNAcentral describes it as "transfer RNA-Lys(TTT)". It matches the Rfam family "tRNA". From Rfam's summary of the family: Transfer RNA (tRNA) molecules are approximately 80 nucleotides in length. The record is from RNAcentral. RNAcentral also lists the same sequence under 7 other names. Lineage: Bacteria; Pseudomonadati; Pseudomonadota; Betaproteobacteria; Burkholderiales; Sutterellaceae.